GCCAGCACUGGAGCUGGGUAGUCCAUGCUGUCCCUCUCCUUCGCCCUCCCCUCAUCUCUCCCCUUCUUACUACCGUAGCUCCAUUCCUCACCUGGUUCCUUACCUUGCUGCCCAUAACGACAGCGGAGAAGAAAUUAGGGUGGACAGAGAGAAGAUCCUGAGAGCGCUCCUGAUGACAGAGCUCUGAGACCUCGACCCGUCAGACGGAAGCUAAGAAGUCCCAAAGUCACUGGUGUCAGUCAGCAUUUGUAUACUUGCAUUGCACAUUUAGCAGUUAUAAAUCUAUAUUUGCAUAAAGGCGGUUGUUAUAUUUGCUUAACUGUUAUUUUAGAAAGAAGGCUCUUUGUAAUAACUGAACUGAACCUGUACAAAAAAGUGAAAUGGAAACAAGUGGAUUCACUCACAUGCAUUACAGACGAGCUACAGACUGUAUUCCUGGUGCUGCCUGCAUGAUUAAUGUUUCCCUAAACGAUUAUCGGAUUUUGCUUUGGACUUCUGUUUAUGUGUGAGUUCAUCCUCAUUGUCUUCAUCGCCGUGUCCGUGCUGAUGCCUAAACUGUGUUUCAGACAGCGACUGUUGAAGCUUUGAUCUCCAUGUAAAAAGCACCCCUGAAAUGAAAGUCACUCACUUUCAAAUCAGUUUGUUCAAAAUGUAAAUACUCAUUGAUAUCCUGAGAACAGAGCAGGCGUUGUAAAUGCUUACCUCAGUACUGUAAUUCCUAUAUCAGAUAUCCAUUUUUUUACACGCAAAAAAACAUCAGCAGCGUCUGUGGUUUUAAAGAAAAUCCUGAACAGUGUGAGUUGAAAGUGAAAACUGAAUAUAUCGACACCUCAGUCUCCGUGUGCCCACCAGGAGGCGCCAAAGCUCCUGUGGCAGCAGCCUUGAUCUUGUGUUACAGGUGUUCAUGAAAAACCUCUCUUGCGUCCCUUUGCUGUGUUUUUAACAUGCAGCUCAAAACCAAAUCUGGCCUCAGAGGUCAGACCCUUGGAAAUAUUUAAUUACUGCGCAAAAAACAAAAACUUCACUUCAGCCCUUCUUUGUCACAAUCCGAGGCAGCACAUGAUCUGCACCUGUACUGUAUGUUGCUGAUUGAGUUUUCCUACCUUGGACUGGAUCUCAAUAAAGGCCACAUCAUCGGUUUGAC
This is a long non-coding RNA of Astatotilapia calliptera (eastern happy), 1144 nucleotides long. The record is from Ensembl. NCBI's taxonomy places the organism in Eukaryota, Metazoa, Chordata, Actinopteri, Cichliformes, Cichlidae.